Long non-coding RNA from Pyrus x bretschneideri (Chinese white pear), 506 nucleotides. RefSeq lists it as uncharacterized. NCBI's taxonomy places the organism in Eukaryota, Viridiplantae, Streptophyta, Magnoliopsida, Rosales, Rosaceae. The record is from RefSeq and is a predicted model, not a curated record. The transcript is spliced from 5 exons.
UGGAAGAACGUACCUCAGAGGUACAAGCUCAUUGGGACUACUUUGCUUGCCUUUGUCAUCUGCAACAUGGAUAAGGCGAACUUGAGCAUUACUAUAAUUCCAAUGUCUCACCAGUUUGGAUGGAGUUCAUCCGAGGCGGGAUUGGUUCAAUCAUCGUUUUUUGGGGGGUAUGCAUUGAGUCAGUUGCCCGGAGGUUGGCUUGUUAAGAUAUUUAGUGGGAGAUUUGUUUUUUAAAGCUCGUUUCAAGUUUUUAUUAUGUUAUUUAUUUAUACUUAGAACUAUGCAGUUCAUCCGUGGCGGGAUUGGUUCAAUCCCCAAAUGCUUGUUUAUUGAUCUUUUGGCCGAGACAGCUUUGUCAAGAAUUUUGGUAGGAAUUGGAGAAGGCAUUUCCCUAUCUGCCGCAACAGACCUUAUUGCCAAGCAUGACAAUACCUUUGGAAGAGCGUUCCCGAGCUGUAGCAUUUGUCUUUGGUGGUCUAAGUAUAGGAAGUGUUGCAUGGUAUGUU